Molecule: non-coding RNA, 101 nt
Organism: Sporosarcina psychrophila
Lineage: Bacteria; Bacillati; Bacillota; Bacilli; Caryophanales; Caryophanaceae
Source: Rfam
AUCUUAUCUAGAGAGGUUGAGGGACUGGCCCGAUGAAACCGCGGCAACAGACUGUUUAGUACUGUGCCAAUUCCAGUAAACGAAAGUUUAGCAGAUAAGAG